GUAAUGAAUCAGCUGCUUCAUUUCAACCACACAAUUCAUUCAUUUAUACAUGAUACCAUGAAAGAUUAUACGGCGUUAAAACUUUAUUGUUUAAGCUGAUGGGUCGCUGAUUGUCACGAUGUUCCAAAUAGAUCAAACAAGUUGAUCAAGCAAGUUGGCUUAGCAAGAGACGGGUCAAACAAAUGUAAUCAAUUUCAAAUGCGCGUUUUCUAGCAUUCUGCAUGUAAAAUUAUCAUGGCCACUAUUUUUCGGUUUAAUGCUUUGUUAAAACCAGAUAGUUAUUAUUCAUAUGAUUAAUUUUGAAUAAUGUUUUGUGUAGGCAGAUAUUGUAAUAUUGUUCAACUGUUAAAUAUUAUCUUGAUGAGCAAUUUAUGAUACACUUUAUGCAUGAAA
Molecule: long non-coding RNA, 393 nt
Organism: Helianthus annuus (common sunflower)
Lineage: Eukaryota; Viridiplantae; Streptophyta; Magnoliopsida; Asterales; Asteraceae
Exons: 2
Source: RefSeq, a predicted model, not a curated record